RNAcentral lists this small RNA (767 nucleotides) under Pan troglodytes (chimpanzee). RNAcentral describes it as "processed transcript". Lineage: Eukaryota; Metazoa; Chordata; Mammalia; Primates; Hominidae. The record is from RNAcentral.
CAGUUCCAACCUGGGGUCUGGCAUGACCAUUCCAAGUACCCCGGCAGCGUUAACUCAGCCGUCCUCCGGCUGUCCCCGUAUGUCAACUACCAGUUCCGUGUCAUUGCCAUCAACGAGGUUGGGAGCAGCCACCCCAGCCUCCCGUCCGAGCGCUACCGAACCAGUGGAGCACCCCCCGAGUCCAAUCCUGGUGACGUGAAGGGAGAGGGGACCAGAAAGAACAACAUGGAGAUCACGUGGACGCCCAUGAAUGCCACCUCGGCCUUUGGCCCCAACCUGCGCUACAUUGUCAAGUGGAGGCGGAGAGAGACUCGAGAGGCCUGGAACAACGUCACAGUGUGGGGCUCUCGCUACGUGGUGGGGCAGACCCCGGUCUACGUGCCCUAUGAGAUCCGAGUCCAGGCUGAAAAUGACUUCGGGAAGGGCCCUGAGCCAGAGUCCGUCAUCGGUUACUCCGGAGAAGAUUAUCCCAGGGCUGCGCCCACUGAAGUUAAAGUCCGAGUCAUGAACAGCACAGCCAUCAGCCUUCAGUGGAACCGCGUCUACUCCGACACGGUCCAGGGCCAGCUCAGAGAGUACCGAGUGAGGAAGCCAGCUCCGGACUCACCUAACUACCCAGCUCACUAACCAGGGCCAGGGGUAGCAAAUGCGGGGCAUAAGAUAUUUGAAAGAAACCCUAGGGUUGUUUAUUGAAUCCAGGGUUGACUCAAGAAGAUAAUGUCUAGGGUUAGAUGUUCAAAAAUAUACCCAGAAAAAAAAAUUAUAUA